GGAAAAGGAGUUGCCGCAGGAGACUGGCAUGCCAUAAUGAGCGUCGUAGGAAGCCUCCAUCUGGUUCUCUUUUCUCUACACACUAUGGGAAUCUUUCUUCAUCAAUAUUUGAAAAUAAUAGCAGUAGAUCCGGAAGCUUUCUGGUAGACUUCAGCUCACACCAAAAUGUCAAUGAGAGUUCAUGGCCAAAUACUCGAGCAUCUGAACAAGGAUGGGAUCAUCAAUCAUCAGGGAAGUUCCUUCAACGUCCUUGGCUGAAUAACUCUGAAAAUGCUGCUAGUGAGCUUGUUUUGCAAGGUUCAGCUACCAGGACCAGUUAUCAUGGUGUUCCUUCAGGAGACUAUUUUCCUGGAGUCUCAGAUUCAAGUGGUGCUCUCUCUCUUCUGUCAA
RNAcentral lists this unclassified non-coding RNA (390 nucleotides) under Hevea brasiliensis (rubber tree). Lineage: Eukaryota; Viridiplantae; Streptophyta; Magnoliopsida; Malpighiales; Euphorbiaceae. The record is from RNAcentral.